GGAAUUAUUGGGCGUAAAGCGCGCGCAGGCGGAUUGGUCAGUCUGUCUUAAAAGUUCGGGGCUUAACCCCGUGACGGGAUGGAAACUGCCAAUCUAGAGUAUCGGAGAGGAAAGUGGAAUUCCUAGUGUAGCGGUGAAAUGCGUAGAUAUUAGGAAGAACACCAGUGGCGAAGGCGACUUUCUGGACGAAAACUGACGCUGAGGCGCGAAAGCCAGGGGAGCGAACGGGAUUAGAUACCCCGGUAGUCCUGGCCGUAAACGAUGGGUACUAGGUGUAGGAGGUAUCGACCCCUUCUGUGCCGGAGUUAACGCAAUAAGUACCCCGCCUGGGGAGUACGACCGCAAGGUUGAAACUCAAAGGAAUUGACGGGGGCCCGCACAAGCGGUGGAGUAUGUGGUUUAAUUCGACGCAACGCGAAGAACCUUACCAGGUCUUGACAU
RNAcentral lists this ribosomal RNA (441 nucleotides) under uncultured bacterium. RNAcentral's name for it is "bacterial SSU rRNA". It matches the Rfam family "Bacterial small subunit ribosomal RNA", at positions 547 to 987 of the family's 1533-position model. The record is from RNAcentral.